GUAGUAGCUUCCAUGAAUUUAUCGCAGGACUUAAAGAAAGGGCAAUGCAGCACCAUUCCACGCAUGAGCUGGAUCAUAGUGAUACUGAAACAAAGACAAUGAAACCAGAGAACACAGAUGAUGGUGACAAGAAAGCAGAAUUCAAGAGACAACAGAGCCAAAUAAUAGAGCUUUGGGAAUUAUGUAAUGUACCCUUGGUUCAUAGAACCUACUUUUUCUUGCUCUUCAAAGGCGAUCCAUCGGACUUUGUUUACAUGGAAGUCGAACUCAGAAGGCUAUCUUUUCUAAAGGACUCGCCUGAAAUAUCGAGG
This 311-nucleotide long non-coding RNA is filed under the name Capsella grandiflora. RNAcentral's name for it is "long non-coding RNA (CGRA_LNC000162)". Lineage: Eukaryota; Viridiplantae; Streptophyta; Magnoliopsida; Brassicales; Brassicaceae. The record is from RNAcentral.